UAGUCCACGCCGUAAACAAUGAAUACUCGAAGUGGCUGGUAUUGACCCCGGCCGUUUCCAAGCUAACGCGAUAAGUAUUCCGCCUGGGAAGUACGGUCGCAAGACUAAAACUCAAAGGAAUUGACGGGGACCCGCACAAGCGGUGGAUUAUGUGGUUUAAUUCGAAGCAACGCGCAGAACCUUACCCGGCCUUGACUUCCUACUGACCGUUCCAGGGAUGGUUCUUUCUCGCAAGAGACAGUAGAGACAGGUGCUGCAUGGCUGUCGUCAGCUCGUGUCGUGAGAUGUUCGGUUAAGUCCGGCAACGAGCGCAACCCUUAUUUUUAGUUGCCAUCAUUAAGUUGGGCACUCUAGAGAGACUGCCGGUGUCAUAAACCGGAGGAAGGUGGGGAUGACGUCGAGUCCUCAUGGCCCUUACGGCCGGGGCUACACACGUAAUACAAUGGACGGUACAGAGAGUCGCCAACCCGCGAGGGGGAGCUAAUCUCAAAAAACCGUCCUCAGUUCGGAUUGGAGUCUGCAACUCGACUCC
Molecule: ribosomal RNA, 532 nt
Filed under: uncultured bacterium
Lineage: Bacteria
Description: bacterial SSU rRNA
Rfam family: Bacterial small subunit ribosomal RNA
Source: RNAcentral